UUGACCUCAAAUCGGGUGAGACUACCCGCUG
RNAcentral lists this ribosomal RNA (31 nucleotides) under Lactifluus volemus. RNAcentral describes it as "Lactarius volemus partial 28S ribosomal RNA". Lineage: Eukaryota; Fungi; Basidiomycota; Agaricomycetes; Russulales; Russulaceae. The record is from RNAcentral. RNAcentral also lists the same sequence under 3 other names.